Molecule: ribosomal RNA, 253 nt
Filed under: uncultured bacterium
Lineage: Bacteria
Description: partial 16S ribosomal RNA
Rfam family: Bacterial small subunit ribosomal RNA
Source: RNAcentral
UACGGGGGGGGCAAGCGUUGUUCGGAAUUACUGGGCGUAAAGGGCUCGUAGGCGGCCAACUAAGUCCGACGUGAAAUCCCCAGGCUUAACCUGGGAACUGCGUCGGAUACUGGAUGGCUUGAAUCCGGGAGAGGGAUGCGGAAUUCCAGGUGUAGCGGUGAAAUUCGUAGAUAUUCGCAAGAACACCAGUGGCGAAGGCGGCUCACUGGCCCGGUACUGACGCUGAGGUGCGAAAGCGUGGGGAGCAAACAGG